GACGAACGCUGGCGGCGUGCUUAACACAUGCAAGUCGAACGGAAAGGCCCUGCUUUUGUGGGGUGCUCGAGUGGCGAACGGGUGAGUAACAAGUGAGUAACCUGCCCUUGACUUUGGGAUAACUUCAGGAAACUGGGGCUAAUACCGGAUAGGAGCUCCUGCUGCAUGGUGGGGGGUGGAAAGGUUCGGCGGUUGGGGAUGGACUCGCGGCUUAUCAGCUUGUUGGUGGGGGGGUGGCUUACCAAGGCUUUGACGGGUAGCCGGCCUGGGAGGGUGACCGGCCACAUUGGGACUGAGAUACGGCCCAGACUCCUACGGGAGGCAGCAGUGGGGAAUAUUGCACAAUGGGCGGAAGCCUGAUGCAGCAACGCCGCGUGCGGGAUGACGGCCUUCGGGUUGUAAACCGCUUUCGCCUGUGACGAAGCGUGAGUGACGGUAAUGGGUAAAGAAGCACCGGCUAACUACGUG
RNAcentral lists this ribosomal RNA (468 nucleotides) under uncultured bacterium. RNAcentral's name for it is "partial 16S ribosomal RNA". It matches the Rfam family "Bacterial small subunit ribosomal RNA", at positions 28 to 507 of the family's 1533-position model. The record is from RNAcentral.